GACGAACGCUGGCGGCGUGCUUAACGCAUGCAAGUCGGACGCAAAUGCCCUGCGUUUUUGGUGUGCGCGAGUUGCGAACGAGUGAGUAACACGUGAGUAACCUGCCCUUGACUUUGGGAUAGCUUCAGGAAACUGGGGCUAAUACCGGAUAUGGGCUCCUGCUGCAUGGUGGGGGUUGGAAAGUUGCGGCGGUUGGGGAUGGACUGGCGGCGUAUCAGCUUGUUAGGGGGGUAGUGGCUUACCCAUGCUUUGACAGGUAGCCGGCCUGAGAGGGUGACCGGACAAAGCGGGACUGAGCUACGGCCCAGCCCCGAACGGGACGCAGCGGUGGAGAAUAGUGUACAAGGGGCGGAACGCUAAUGCAGCCACGCAGCGUGGGGGAUAACGGCACUCGGGUCGUAAUCCGCUUUCGCCUGGGACGAAGUGUGAGUGACGGUAACCGGUAAAGAAGCCCCGGCUAACUACGUG
Molecule: ribosomal RNA, 468 nt
Filed under: uncultured bacterium
Lineage: Bacteria
Description: partial 16S ribosomal RNA
Rfam family: Bacterial small subunit ribosomal RNA
Source: RNAcentral